This 253-nucleotide ribosomal RNA is filed under the name uncultured bacterium. Its description in RNAcentral is "partial 16S ribosomal RNA". It matches the Rfam family "Bacterial small subunit ribosomal RNA", at positions 524 to 776 of the family's 1533-position model. The record is from RNAcentral.
UACAGAGGUGGCAAGCGUUGUUCGGAAUUACUGGGCGUAAAGGGCUCGUAGGUGGCCAACUAAGUCGGACGUGAAAUCCCCAGGCUCAACCUGGGAACUGCGUCCGAUACUGGAUGGCUUGAAUCCGGGAGAGGGAUGCAGAAUUCCAGGUGUAGCGGUGAAAUGCGUAGAUAUCUGGAGGAAUACCGGUGGCGAAGGCGGCAUCCUGGACCGGCAUUGACGCUGAGGAGCGAAAGCCAGGGGAGCAAACGGG